AGAGUUUGAUCAUGGCUCAGGAUGAACGCUAGCUACAGGCUUAACACAUGCAAGUCGAGGGGAAACGACAUCGAAAGCUUGCUUUUGAUGGGCGUCGACCGGCGCACGGGUGAGUAACGCGUAUCCAACCUGCCCAUCACUUGGGGAUAACCUUGCGAAAGUAAGACUAAUACCCAAUGACGUCUCUAGAAGACAUCUGAAAGAGAUUAGAGAUUUAUCGGUGAUGGAUGGGGAGUGCGUCUGAUUAGCUCGUUGGCGGGGUAACGGCCCACCAAAGCAACGAUCAGUAGGGGUUCUGAGAGGAAGGUCCCCCACAUUGGAACUGAGACACGGUCCAAACUCCUACGGGAGGCA
This 354-nucleotide ribosomal RNA is filed under the name uncultured bacterium. Its description in RNAcentral is "bacterial SSU rRNA". It matches the Rfam family "Bacterial small subunit ribosomal RNA", at positions 8 to 350 of the family's 1533-position model. The record is from RNAcentral.